Molecule: long non-coding RNA, 1481 nt
Organism: Onychomys torridus (southern grasshopper mouse)
Lineage: Eukaryota; Metazoa; Chordata; Mammalia; Rodentia; Cricetidae
Exons: 3
Source: RefSeq, a predicted model, not a curated record
CCGGCUGAGGAGCAGAAUGGGCAUUCCCAGGAUCUAGGUCUUAAUACCAGAUGUUGUUCUAACCUUUACUGGGGAGAGCUGUGCUCACACGUCUAUUCAGCCCAGAAUGAUGGUUGAAGUGUUACAAGCAGAAGCAUUGAUGACUCAAAAGGCACAGUAUCACUGACAACCCCAACAUAUCACAAAUGAUGCCUCAUGGUGGCUGCCACCCUGGAGAUGGGAGAGUCAACUACAGGCAGCCUGGCUACUUGGUUUCCACUUGACUGACAGACAUAUCCAAGCAUCAUUUGCUGAUGACAACCUUCUCCAAAUGACUGUGACCUUGAACUUGCUGAAAACUGAUAUGGACCAAUCCAGCUGAUAUAAAUGCUAUUUCUUCAGCUGGUCAAUGAACCAGAUGAUUCUAAAUUCCCUUCUUGACUAGCAUUCUGGCUGUUAGGGCCCUGACAAUAACAUCCCAAUGUCAGCAGGAGAUAAUUACAGAAGCAAAAACAUCACAUUUGCGCCCCUCGCCCCCCCAUGUUAGAUCAAAAGGGAAUUUCUUGUCAUAGGGAACCUGAGAUAAAAUAAUAACUGGUUCCCAUUCUCAUUUCCAAGUUCCUUCAGGAUAAGAAACUCUGUUGGUCAUCAUAGGGCUUUUUUGGCCCUUCUGCUUCUGCUAAUUGCUAUUGGCUCUUACAUCAUUGAUGUCUUAACUAAAUGAUGAUUCCUGUCUGGGUACCAUUAAACUGAUGAUGCUAGAAUCCCAAUAUCAGGCCUUGGACCAAACCAAUGACACACUUGCAGAUGGCAACAACCAAAUAAGAGGAGGCACAGUUUGCUGUUGAUAAUGGGAAAUGGUCUCUGUUUGGAACCACCUUACAUGGCUAUUGCCACCUCUGUAAUCUCACUCCAAAUCCAAUGGGAGCCAGCUUCCUGAUCCCACUGGAGGAUACCUUAUGGACAUAUAUUUCUGGCUUCUUCCCCAAAGUUAAUGUUCCAAUUAUAGAUCAAAACAAAAAAACUCGUAUAUCCUGAUCCAAUUAGUCUCCAAAGAAAUCUAUUACCCUGAUGAUAAAGUCUUUUACCAAACAGAAACAUCUCCAAGAUUGGAGCUGAUAUACUACUCAAGGAGGAAUAAGAGGACCAAGCAGACUUCAUAACAGGCUGCUCAGUCUUUUCUCAGAGAUCAGGCCUCAGUUUCAGUUUCCUGAGACUGAGCAAGCAGUUUCUUAGAGGGCCAUGAACAGGGAGAUAGGACACAUCAAGCCUCGGCCACUGAGCCAACCCCUACUGAGCCAACCCCCUACAGAAGCUCAAGGAAAAAGCCUGGCAUUUAUCCAGUCCUGCCCCAAAAUGGAUAACUAUAACCCCCAACUAACCCUAACCAGUAAAAAGUUACUAAAAUGAUUGCCACUCAUACAAACAAAGAACCUGAAUGACCAAAGAACCCAUGGAGAAGCCACAAGUGACCUUCUAUCUCUUCUCUUCCUCCAUUCAAA